Molecule: ribosomal RNA, 1301 nt
Filed under: metagenome
Description: bacterial LSU rRNA
Rfam family: Bacterial large subunit ribosomal RNA
Source: RNAcentral
ACACGACCGUACCGCAAACCGACACUGGUGCGCGAGAUGAGUAUUCUAAGGCGCUUGAGAGAACUCGGGAGAAGGAACUCGGCAAAUUGACACCGUAACUUCGGAAGAAGGUGUGCCUUUAGUAGGUGAAGGGAUUUACUCCUGGAGCCCAAUGAGGUUGCAAAAAAUCGGUGGCUGCGACUGUUUAUUAAAAACACAGCACUCUGCAAACACGAAAGUGGACGUAUAGGGUGUGACGCCUGCCCGGUGCUGGAAGAUUAAAUGAUGGGGUGCAAGCUCUUGAUUGAAGUCCCAGUAAACGGCGGCCGUAACUAUAACGGUCCUAAGGUAGCGAAAUUCCUUGUCGGGUAAGUUCCGACCUGCACGAAUGGCGUAACGAUGGCCACACUGUCUCCUCCCGAGACCCAGCGAAGUUGAAAUGUUUGUGAUGAUGCAAUCUCCCCGCGGAAAGACGGAAAGACCCCAUGAACCUUUACUGUAGCUUUGUAUUGGACUUUGAACAGAUCUGUGUAGGAUAGGUGGGAGGCUUUGAAGCAGGGUCGCUAGAUCUUGUGGAGCCAACGUUGAAAUACCACCCUGGUGUGUUUGAGGUUCUAACCUAGGUCCAUUAUCUGGAUCGGGGACAGUGCAUGGUAGGCAGUUUGACUGGGGCGGUCUCCUCCCAAAGCGUAACGGAGGAGUUCGAAGGUACGCUAGGUACGGUCGGACAUCGUGCUAAUAGUGCAAUGGCAUAAGCGUGCUUAACUGCGAGACUGACAAGUCGAGCAGAUGCGAAAGCAGGACAUAGUGAUCCGGUGGUUCUGUAUGGAAGGGCCAUCGCUCAACGGAUAAAAGGUACUCUGGGGAUAACAGGCUGAUACCGCCCAAGAGUUCAUAUCGACGGCGGUGUUUGGCACCUCGAUGUCGGCUCAUCUCAUCCUGGGGCUGUAGCCGGUCCCAAGGGUAUGGCUGUUCGCCAUUUAAAGAGGUACGUGAGCUGGGUUUAAAACGUCGUGAGACAGUUUGGUCCCUAUCUUCCGUGGGCGCUGCAGAUUUGAGGAAGCCUGCUCCUAGUACGAGAGGACCGGAGUGGACGCACCUCUGGUGUAUCGGUUGUCACGCCAGUGGCAUUGCCGAGUAGCUAUGUGCGGAAGAGAUAACCGCUGAAAGCAUCUAAGCGGGAAACUCGUUUCAAGAUGAGAUCUGCCGGGGCCUUGAGCCCCCUAAAGAGUCGUUCAAGACCAGGACGUUGAUAGGUCAGGUGUGGAAGCGCAGUAAUGCGUUAAGCUAACUGAUACUAAUUGCUCGUGCGGCUUGACCCU